GAUGAACGCUGGCGGCGUGCCUAAUACAUGCAAGUCGAGCGAACGGACGAGAAGCUUGCUUCUCUGAUGUUAGCGGCGGACGGGUGAGUAACACGUGGAUAACCUACCUAUAAGACUGGGAUAACUUCGGGAAACCGGAGCUAAUACCGGAUAAUAUUUUGAACCGCAUGGUUCAAAAGUGAAAGACGGUCUUGCUGUCACUUAUAGAUGGAUCCGCGCUGCAUUAGCUAGUUGGUAAGGUAACGGCUUACCAAGGCAAUGAUGCAUAGCCGACCUGAGAGGGUGAUCGGCCACACUGGAACUGAGACACGGUCCAGACUCCUACGGGGGGCAGCAGUAGGGAAUCUUCCGCAAUGGGCGAAAGCCUGACGGAGCAACGCCGCGUGAGUGAUGAAGGUCUUCGGAUCGUAAAACUCUGUUAUUAGGGAAGAACAUAUGUGUAAGUAACUGUGCACAUCUUGACGGUACCUAAUCAGAAAGCCACGGCUAACUACGUG
Molecule: ribosomal RNA, 497 nt
Filed under: uncultured bacterium
Lineage: Bacteria
Description: partial 16S ribosomal RNA
Rfam family: Bacterial small subunit ribosomal RNA
Source: RNAcentral